UUUAUGGAGAGUUUGAUCCUGGCUCAGGAUGAACGCUGGCGGCGUGCCUAAUACAUGCAAGUCGAGCGAACGGACGAGAAGCUUGCUUCUCUGAUGUUAGCGGCGGACGGGUGAGUAACACGUGGAUAACCUACCUAUAAGACUGGGAUAACUUCGGGAAACCGGAGCUAAUACCGGAUAAUAUUUUGAACCGCAUGGUUCAAAAGUGAAAGACGGUCUUGCUGUCACUUAUAGAUGGAUCCGCGCUGCAUUAGCUAGUUGGUAAGGUAACGGCUUACCAAGGCAACGAUGCAUAGCCGACCUGAGAGGGUGAUCGGCCACACUGGAACUGAGACACGGUCCAGACUCCUACGGGAGGCAGCAGUAGGGAAUCUUCCGCAAUGGGCGAAAGCCUGACGGAGCAACGCCGCGUGAGUGAUGAAAGUCUUCGGAUCGUAAAACUCUGUUAUUAGGGAAGAACAUAUGUGUAAGUAACUGUGCACAUCUUGACGGUACCUAAUCAGAAAGCCACGGCUAACUACGUGCCAGCAGCCGCGGUAAUACGUAGGUGGCAAGCGUUAUCCGGAAUUAUUGGGCGUAAAGCGCGCGUAGGCGGUUUUUUAAGUCUGAUGUGAAAGCCCACGGCUCAACCGUGGAGGGUCAUUGGAAACUGGAAAACUUGAGUGCAGAAGAGGAAAGUGGAAUUCCAUGUGUAGCGGUGAAAUGCGCAGAGAUAUGGAGGAACACCAGUGGCGAAGGCGACUUUCUGGUCUGUAACUGACGCUGAUGUGCGAAAGCGUGGGGAUCAAACAGGAUUAGAUACCCUGGUAGUCCACGCCGUAAACGAUGAGUGCUAAGUGUUAGGGGGUUUCCGCCCCUUAGUGCUGCAGCUAACGCAUUAAGCACUCCGCCUGGGGAGUACGACCGCAAGGUUGAAACUCAAAGGAAUUGACGGGGACCCGCACAAGCGGUGGAGCAUGUGGUUUAAUUCGAAGCAACGCGAAGAACCUUACCAAAUCUUGACAUCCUUUGACAACUCUAGAGAUAGAGCUUUCCCCUUCGGGGGACAAAGUGACAGGUGGUGCAUGGUUGUCGUCAGCUCGUGUCGUGAGAUGUUGGGUUAAGUCCCGCAACGAGCGCAACCCUUAAGCUUAGUUGCCAUCAUUAAGUUGGGCACUCUAAGUUGACUGCCGGUGACAAACCGGAGGAAGGUGGGGAUGACGUCAAAUCAUCAUGCCCCUUAUGAUUUGGGCUACACACGUGCUACAAUGGACAAUACAAAGGGCAGCGAAACCGCGAGGUCAAGCAAAUCCCAUAAAGUUGUUCUCAGUUCGGAUUGUAGUCUGCAACUCGACUACAUGAAGCUGGAAUCGCUAGUAAUCGUAGAUCAGCAUGCUACGGUGAAUACGUUCCCGGGUCUUGUACACACCGCCCGUCACACCACGAGAGUUUGUAACACCCGAAGCCGGUGGAGUAACCUUUUAGGAGCUAGCCGUCGAAGGUGGGACAAAUGAUUGGGGUGAAGUCGUAACAAGGUAGCCGUAUCGGAAGGUGCGGCUGGAUCACCUCCUUUCU
RNAcentral lists this ribosomal RNA (1554 nucleotides) under Staphylococcus aureus. RNAcentral describes it as "16S ribosomal RNA". It matches the Rfam family "Bacterial small subunit ribosomal RNA". Lineage: Bacteria; Bacillati; Bacillota; Bacilli; Caryophanales; Staphylococcaceae. The record is from RNAcentral.